UUGAACGCUGGCGGCAUGCCUUACACAUGCAAGUCGAACGGUAGAGGGGCAACCCUUGAGAGCGGCGAACGGGUGAGUAAUAUAUCGGAACGUGCCCAGUCGUGGGGGAUAACGCAGCGAAAGCUGCGCUAAUACCGCAUACGAUCUAUGGAUGAAGGCGGGGGAUCGCAAGACCUCGCGCGAUUGGAGCGGCCGAUAUCAGAUUAGGUAGUUGGUGGGGUAAAAGCCCACCAAGCCGACGA
Molecule: ribosomal RNA, 242 nt
Filed under: uncultured bacterium
Lineage: Bacteria
Description: partial 16S ribosomal RNA
Rfam family: Bacterial small subunit ribosomal RNA
Source: RNAcentral